Molecule: ribosomal RNA, 524 nt
Filed under: uncultured bacterium
Lineage: Bacteria
Description: partial 16S ribosomal RNA
Rfam family: Bacterial small subunit ribosomal RNA
Source: RNAcentral
GACGAACGCUGGCGGCGUGCCUAAUACAUGCAAGUCGAGCGCAGGAAAUCGACGGAACCCUUCGGGGGGAAGUCGACGGAAUGAGCGGCGGACGGGUGAGUAACACGUAAAGAACCUGCCCUCAGGUCUGGGAUAACCACGAGAAAUCGGGGCUAAUACCGGAUGGGUCAUCGGACCGCAUGGUCCGAGGAUGAAAGGCGCUUCGGCGUCGCCUGGGGAUGGCUUUGCGGUGCAUUAGCUAGUUGGUGGGGUAAUGGCCCACCAAGGCGACGAUGCAUAGCCGACCGGAGAGGGUGAUCGGCCACGCUGGGACUGAGACACGGCCCAGACUCCUACGGGAGGCAGCAGUAGGGAAUCUUCCACAAUGGACGAAAGUCUGAUGGAGCAACGGCGCGUGAACGAUGAAGGCCUUCGGGUCGUAAAGUUCUGUUGUAAGGGAAGAACAAGUGCCGCAGGCAAUGGCGGCACUUUGACGGUACCUUGCGAGAAAGCCACGGCUAACUACGUGCCAGCAGCCGCCGUAA